CUAUAAUAUUGAGGCCAAAUGACCAGGAAGCACCAUUAACGUUAUAUUUAGUGAAAUUCUACACAAGGUUUAGUUGACCUAGGAUGGGUUUGGCUGGAAGUCUCUGCGUGGCCAGGCUCUGUACUUAGAGGUUGGGACCAGGUCUUUAUUUGUUUAUUCUGGAACCCAAACAGGGACAGUGACUGAUAUAUCAUAAAAGCCUAAGAAAAAUCCAAACAACAGAAGUUAGAUGUGGACGUUGCAGCCAGUAGAUGUUGCUGUUGAGCAAUGUGACAGAGAACCACCUGCCAGGAGUGGGAAUAACAGAUUGGCACUUUGAUUUUAAUAGAUAUGAGGAUAUUCAUAAAUCCUUCCUCCAGAAAUGUCAGCCUUAGAGAUUUAAGGGUGUGAUAGUAAGAUUAUGGAGAAAAAGUCCAGGUAAUAGUAUAUCUGCUAUAUCCUUAUUGUAAGUUUACUCAUAAUAUAGCUUCGUAACAACUCCAAAGACCAAUUUUGCAUGUUUCAUUCAAAAUCUUCUAAACAAUUUUUUU
This is a long non-coding RNA of Pan paniscus (pygmy chimpanzee), 530 nucleotides long. The record is from Ensembl. NCBI's taxonomy places the organism in Eukaryota, Metazoa, Chordata, Mammalia, Primates, Hominidae.